Molecule: ribosomal RNA, 253 nt
Filed under: uncultured bacterium
Lineage: Bacteria
Description: partial 16S ribosomal RNA
Rfam family: Bacterial small subunit ribosomal RNA
Source: RNAcentral
GACGAAGGAUGGAAGCGUUAUCCGGAUUCAUUGGGUUUAAAGGGUGCGUAGGCGGCCCGGUAAGUCAGUGGUGAAAUCUCCUUGCUUAACAAGGAAACUGCCAUUGAUACUGCUGGGCUUGAGUACAGAUGCUGUGGGCGGAAUAUGACAUGUAGUGGUGAAAUACAUAGAGAUGUCAUAGAACACCGAUUGCGAAGGCAGCUCACAAAACUGUAACUGACGCUGAGGCACGAAAGUGCGGGGAUCAAACAGG